CUGGCAGAUGACGACAAGCAAGACAGGGACUCUGCAGCGCCCCCGGUUCAGAUCGGGGGUCGCGAAUGAUGCAUCCGUCUAGGGGAAUCUCCGAUGCCAU
This 100-nucleotide small nucleolar RNA is filed under the name Triticum aestivum (bread wheat). Its description in RNAcentral is "snoRNA snoR44_J54". It matches the Rfam family "Small nucleolar RNA R44/J54/Z268 family". From Rfam's summary of the family: R44, J54 and Z268 are members of the C/D class of snoRNA which contain the C (UGAUGA) and D (CUGA) box motifs. Most of the members of the box C/D family function in directing site-specific 2'-O-methylation of substrate RNAs. RNAcentral also lists the same sequence under 1 other name. Lineage: Eukaryota; Viridiplantae; Streptophyta; Magnoliopsida; Poales; Poaceae. The record is from Rfam by way of RNAcentral.